AGCGAACGCUGGCGGCAGGCCUAACACAUGCAAGUCGAACGAACCUUUCGGGGUUAGUGGCGGACGGGUGAGUAACACGUGGGAACGUGCCUUUAGGUUCGGAAUAACUCAGGGAAACUUGUGCUAAUACCGAAUGUGCCCUUCGGGGGAAAGAUUUAUCGCCUUUAGAGCGGCCCGCGUCUGAUUAGCUAGUUGGUUGAGGUAAUGGCUCCCCAAGGCGACGAUCAGUAGCUGGUCUGAGAGGAUGAUCAGCCACAUUGGGACUGAGACACGGCCCAAACUCCUACGGGAGGCAGCAGUGGGGAAUCUUGCGCAAUGGGCGAAAGCCUGACGCAGCCAUGCCGCGUGAAUGAUGAAGGUCUUAGGAUUGUAAAAUUCUUUCACCGGGGACGAUAAUGACGGUACCCGGAGAAGAAGCCCCGGCUAACUUCGUG
RNAcentral lists this ribosomal RNA (434 nucleotides) under uncultured bacterium. RNAcentral's name for it is "partial 16S ribosomal RNA". It matches the Rfam family "Bacterial small subunit ribosomal RNA", at positions 29 to 507 of the family's 1533-position model. The record is from RNAcentral.